AAGACUGUCGAUUUAAUAACAACAGUCAUUCCCAUGAAGAUGGGAAUCUCUUAAAUGGUUGAGAGAUCCCCGUGUCAAGCACGAGGGUGACAGUGUUUUUCGACAUAAAUCUC
RNAcentral lists this non-coding RNA (113 nucleotides) under Francisella tularensis subsp. tularensis SCHU S4. RNAcentral describes it as "Francisella sRNA B". It matches the Rfam family "Francisella sRNA B". From Rfam's summary of the family: Deletion led to significant changes in the expression of several mRNAs. The record is from Rfam by way of RNAcentral. Lineage: Bacteria; Pseudomonadati; Pseudomonadota; Gammaproteobacteria; Thiotrichales; Francisellaceae.